This 253-nucleotide ribosomal RNA is filed under the name uncultured bacterium. Its description in RNAcentral is "partial 16S ribosomal RNA". It matches the Rfam family "Bacterial small subunit ribosomal RNA", at positions 524 to 776 of the family's 1533-position model. The record is from RNAcentral.
UACGAAGGGGGCUAGCGUUGCUCGGAAUUACUGGGCGUAAAGGGCGCGUAGGCGGACAGUUAAGUCGGGGGUGAAAGCCCGGGGCUCAACCUCGGAAUUGCCUUCGAUACUGGCUGUCUUGAGUGCGGGAGAGGUGUGUGGAACUCCGAGUGUAGAGGUGAAAUUCGUAGAUAUUCGGAAGAACACCAGUGGCGAAGGCGGCACACUGGCACGUUACUGACGCUGAGGCGCGAAAGCGUGGGGAGCAAACAGG